Molecule: long non-coding RNA, 363 nt
Filed under: Pandoravirus dulcis
Description: putative ncRNA
Source: RNAcentral
UCGCGGGCGGCGGUGAUGCGACAGGGACCCUCGCGCGCGGAGGCCUCUGGGCGAGCGGCGGCUGUCGCGGCUCCUGCUGUUGGCGCGCGGUCUGAAAGCGCGUGCGUGCGUCUGCCUUUUUUCCCCCUCGCUUCGGCCCUGUUGGCGUCCUUUUUUGUUCUCGCCGGUGCUGUUUUCCUGGCGCCCUCUCUCUUUCUUUCGCGCGCGUGCUGGUCGGCGGUCUCUCCUUGGCGCUCGCUCGCUCUUUUUUUGCUUUGCUUUGCUCUGCUUGGCUUCUCCUUGCCUCGUCCUACUAGAGACGCCCGCGUACACGCGCAAAGGAGCGGUGUGAGAGGGGGGACUGCGUGUGUGCUCGGAAGGCGG